GACGAACGCUGGCGGCGUGCUUAACACAUGCAAGUCGAACGGAAAGGCCCUGCUUGCAGGGUACUCGAGUGGCGAACGGGUGAGUAACACGUGGGUGAUCUGCCCUGCACUUCGGGAUAAGCCUGGGAAACUGGGUCUAAUACCGGACAGGAGCCAUUUUUAGUGUGAUGGUUGGAAAGUUUUUUCGGUGUAGGAUGAGCUCGCGGCCUAUCAGCUUGUUGGUGGGGUAAUGGCCUACCAAGGCGGCGACGGGUAGCCGGCCUGAGAGGGUGGACGGCCACAUUGGGACUGAGAUACGGCCCAGACUCCUACGGGAGGCAGCAGUGGGGAAUAUUGCACAAUGGGCGCAAGCCUGAUGCAGCGACGCCGCGGGGGGGAUGACGGCCUUCGGGUUGUAAACUCCUUUCGCUAGGGACGAAGCUUUUUGUGACGGUACCUAGAGAAGAAGCACCGGCUAACUACGUG
Molecule: ribosomal RNA, 465 nt
Filed under: uncultured bacterium
Lineage: Bacteria
Description: partial 16S ribosomal RNA
Rfam family: Bacterial small subunit ribosomal RNA
Source: RNAcentral